Molecule: ribosomal RNA, 465 nt
Filed under: uncultured bacterium
Lineage: Bacteria
Description: partial 16S ribosomal RNA
Rfam family: Bacterial small subunit ribosomal RNA
Source: RNAcentral
GACGAACGCUGGCGGCGUGCUUAACACAUGCAAGUCGAACGGAAAGGCCCUGCUUGCCGGGUACUCGAGUGGCGAACGGGUGAGUAACACGUGGGUGAUCUGCCCUGCACUUCGGGAUAAGCCUGGGAAACUGGGUCUAGUACCGGAUAUGACCUUCCAUGUAGUGUGGGGGGUGGAAAGAUUUAUCGGUGUGGGAUGAGCCCGCGGCCUAUCAGCUUGUUGGUGGGGUAAUGGCCUACCAAGGCGUCGACGGGUAGCCGGCCUGAGAGGGUGGACGGCCACAUUGGGACUGAGAUACGGCCCAGACUCCUACGGGAGGCAGCAGUGGGGAAUAUUGCACAAUGGGCGGAAGCCUGAUGCAGCGACGCCGCGUGGGGGAUGACGGCCUUCGGGUUGUAAACCUCUUUCGACAGGGACGAAGCUUCGGUGACGGUACCUGUAUAAGAAGCACCGGCUAACUACGUG